CCGAACGUAAUGGAUCGGUUUGGGCAGCUCGCGAGGAAUCAAAAACUGUGCGCUGGAGUUGCCGGUCGUUGGCAACUUUAUUCUGUGACUAUUAGAUUAACCAAACACAAACAAUUCGGGCCACAACUCUGUCAUUUUGCUGUUUAAUGAAUUUGUAUGCAGAUCGUGCGCUGAUCCGAUUAUCCACUCGCGAGCCGGUACCGAACUAUAGACGUAGCAGCAGUACACAAAUUGAAGAGGCGAGCGCGUCGACAACGAGUGCUGAGCGCUGUUGACGACAUCAACGGGGUGAGCGUGGCUUGCGCCCCUGUCUCGUCUUGCCUGCUCUAUAUAAGUAAAAUAUACUUACCUGGCGCAUUGGCCACGUUUGCUGUGAUCAGUUGAACGUCAGCUAGCAACUAGAUUGGUUAUCAAUCGAGCGUAGCGGACAACUUGGAUUGUUGGGCCAACAAUUUUAGCUGUUCACAAAAUUGUUUGCUAAGAUUUGAAUUUUUGCAGUCCAUAUCAGACUUUCAGCCAUUGUGUCAUUAUUUUGCUGAACAAUUUAAGAAAAAAAGUGUUGCUAACCAGCCUAGGAGCUUCAGUGUUAAAACAAAAUUAAUUAAAAGAGUGGUUUUAAUAGUUAAAAUUCUAAAGACUUGCGACAAAAUGAAAUAAAGCAUUAACAAAAAAAAAACAACAAAAACACUUACUUAGCACUCAGGUGCAAAUUGAAAGCAGACUAAGCAAGUAGUUCGAGUAGCGAAAAAAUGUGAUCGACUGAGUUGUGACGAGCUGGAAUGACAGCAAGCAACCAGAACAACACAAAAAUUCAUUUAUUUAUUUGUACAAGUUCUGUUGCUUGGCAAUAUUUUUCGAACUGUUAACAAAAACCAUAAAUCAAAGACAACAACAAAGCAGUCAACUGAAUAACACAGCCUCAAACACACAGUUUCAGUGGGCCGGCAAAUGAAUCGAACUGGCAGAAGGCAGCUGAAACUUCAGUGCUGAAAGCAGACAAUCAACGCUAGUGGCAUUUUUAUUUGCAUAGAAAUUAAGUGGCAGUCACUAAAAGCAGCAAAACAAUCAAACGUUAGGCGGCGGUACGCUAGUCAUCUAGUCACACGAUCAAUUUGAGCGCUGACACAACGAUGGGAAGUUCCCGUCAAAACACACAAAAACACGAAUAUGUUUUUUAUUUGAAAUUUACAUUUGAACAAAAACGAGAAAAACACAACGCAUUUAUUAGUUAAUUUUAGAAUUAUCGUUCAAAUAUGAAAAUUCUGGCAUAGGCGAUAUUUCUUUAUAUGUAAAAAUUGCCAUUUGGCUAUAAAACAGCCAACUUUACCGCUUGCGUUGACACUUAAAACCAAAAACAACAAAUAUGCAUAUAAAAAUGUAAAAUGCGCAAAAUGCCAACGAACUUUGAGCGUUACAAUCUCCGGUAACUUUUACCUAACCACUAAUUUCCAUACAUAUAAAUAAAAAUAUUAAAAAAUAUGUAUGCAAAUAUGACCUCAUUUUACACGUACGUACAUACGUAUGUAUGUAUGCGCGUAUUGCAUGUCCUCGUGCAUGUUGUUGUAACCCACUUGAAAUGUGAGCUUAUAAAAUUUCGUAACAGUUCAUAUCAUUUUUUAUACGUACAUAUCUACUUGUACAAACUCGUAUAUGUGAGAAUGAGAGUUCCUACCGAGAACUGUCAGUUGGCUCCUGUCAUAAAGUUGACAAAAAAUUGAGAAGUUGUACACAUCUUUUUGGUAGCCUGCCGUCAAUAUUCGUUGAGUGUUGUCCUUGACUGAAGCUGGUGUGAAAUUUGAGCCAACGCGCCGAAAAGUUGACGUUGAAGAGUUUGGUUGGCGGAUGCGCAUAUGGGGCAUAUUUUGUGGUAUUCAGGCAUUUGAUAUCACAAAAGGAUACUACUCGUUGCAAAAAGAAGUGACUGCUGAAUAUGUGAAACAAGCAAACAGCUACAUAUGCACAACGCGAAGUGGUGGUGAUCGCAAAUGAUUGGAGGCAAUUGACGAGUGGAAUUUGUGGCGGCAAGCGCCAUCAUCAACAUGCAGCAGCUGCUCCGCUCAUUACUACUGUUCAACGUAUCAUUGCUGAGCUGCUGCUGCUGCUGCUGUUGUCAUUGCUCGUGCUUGGGCCAGGCUUGUCAAUCACGUGCAAGGAAUUGACACAAAGCGAUGCGAGCGAGUGGCUGGAUGGAAACGUAGCAGUUCAGCUGUUAAGGUAAGGAAAAUGGAAAAUUCGGUAUGUUGUUGUAAAGUAUAAAUGUAGAGUGUGUACAUGAGUGUGUAUGUAUGUGUGGUUGCUUGAAUGUAAGUUAGCAACUCAGAUCGCUUGCUGUCUGUGCGACCAACUGUCACUUCCUGUAUUCAGUGUGGCCUGCGACUAGCGGAUGUGGUGCGGCAACCAGUUUGCCAAUUGAUUGUUAAUAAGUUCUUUAAAAUGCUAAGCAAUAAAUUGAUUUUUUUUCUUAACAUUUUUAAUUUCAUAUUUCGUACAUUGAUUGAAUUAAUUACUGCCAUUGAUUGAAAUGUUAAUUCAAAUAAUUUAACUUGAUAAUUUCUUGAAUUGAGCUUAAUUAGCAAAUACUAAUUUGUCUUUAACCACUCUUCACAUUUUUCUUAAUGGCUUAUCAUCAAUUGUUAAUUAUACAAAGUUGCCGCAAACAGAAAGUAAGCCACUCAAGAAAAAAUUUGUGUAUAGUAAAAUGAAAUACCUGAAAAGCAGCCAGCAGCGUUGAGACAAUCAUGAAAUUGUAAAUUUGAAGAAAGAGAAGAAAAAUUGUAUUGAAGUGAAAAAUUUAUGAACAAAGUGGUAUUUAAAUGUCUAUUGUGGCUGAUUGUGCGCGACUGAUAAUAACGGCAGUAGCGCUACAAAGAAAUCAAUGGUGAAAAAGCAAAAAAAUAACGAAAAAUAUGUUGAGUGUAGCUGUCAGUGCUUAGCUUUAGAAAAGAAAUGAAGAGACUUUGUGAGUGUUAACGAAGAAAUUAUGAUUGUGCCAAGAAAGUGCUAUUUAUUUUUCAUUGUUCCAAACCCCAAUUCCACUUCAAACACGAUUAUAUAAAUUCUAAUUAAUUGGAGAUGCUGCUUCAUUGUUUCAUUUCAAAGCCAAAUGGAGACAAAGCUAUUAAUCAUUAUUUGUGGCAAAAUAUGAAUAACAAAUUGACAACAAAGCAAUAACUCAAAAUUUCGAUAGCUACAGCGAAUUGAGCAGGCAAAGGUUGCAAAGCAGCUGAACCCUGCAGGCAAAUCUACGAGUUAGUAAUGAACUGAUGUGUGAGUAGUGCAUUGGGGGGCACUAUUGGUUUCAAUGACUUCUGUGUUCCAAAUAAGCCAAUAAUGAAUUUCACGUAGUAUUAUCAUCGGAAGUAUUAAAAGUUCAUUAAUACAUUACUUUCAAGGUGGUUAGCAACUAGUGAAUUCGGGACCACUAUUGGUUUCAAUUACUUCUGCUUUCCGCACAGGCCAAUAAUGAAUUUCACGUAGUAUUAUCAUCGGAAGUAUUAAAAAUUCAUUAAUACAUUACUUUCAAGGUGGUUCGCAACUAGUGAAUUGAGGACUACUAUUGACUUCAAUUACUUCUUUUUCUGCGAAAGCAAAUAAUCAAUCGGAAGUGUUAAAAGUUCAAUAAUACUUUCAAGGUGGUUCGCAACUAGUGAAUUCAGGCCCACUAUUGGUUUCAAUAACUUUUCUUUUCCGCAUAAGCAAAUGGUGAAUUCUGCAUGUUAUUAUCAUCGGAAGUGUUAAAAGUUCACUACUGCAAUACUUUUAAGGUGGCCCGCAACUAGUACUAAAUUCGAAAGAUGUGUUCCACUGCGCUCAGCAUAUUUUUAACUACUUCAACAUUAAUAUUAAACUCAAAAAUUAUAUUUCUGAGCAAUAAAAUCGAAAAAUAAUUCACGCUACUGUCACUAGUUAUUCCUUGAUACCUGCAACUCCAAGUAAAUAUUCGAUACUUUUUCCCGAAGCAAAGAGAAAACAAACUAAACUCAAGGGUUUUUCAAAUUUAACUCCUACAAAUUUUUGCCUAAAACAGCACAUUUAAUUAUUCAUCAUGAUAAGUUAACAUUCGAAUACCACAAAAAGUCUCUCGAAGAAAACUACACAAUUUUCUGGUGCUGCCUGAACAGGAAAACCAUCAGAGGUACAGCCUAUACAGGUACAACACGCUGCUAUUUGUGGUAGGCUUGAUUACUUGCUUUUACUAUUUGAUACUGUUUUGAUAUUUCCACACUCUGAAGACAGAUGCCGUGACUGGCAACAAACUAGGGAAAUCGUACCAGUUGGAAGCCAGAAAUUUUAUUUACUGGCUGAAGUUUGCUUCGCAGGGUAGUGUAAAUACAAAUUGGACUGUAUGUAUGUGUGCUACUAAAUACACCUCAACUGCUUACACACAUAUGUAGUAUAGGGGUUUUGUAUAGGGGGAUAAUAAUUUGCUACUCCAAAAACAAAAAAAAAAAGUUAUUACCGUAGCACUGAAACAGUGCCCUCAAUUUUCAGGCAGGCAAGAAGGAUAAUUUAAACCAUAAAAUUCACUAUUAAGUAUGGAACACCCCGGACCAAGCACCGAAAAUAUCGUAUACGUGCACUCACAGUACUCGGGGGAAUGUCAUUUUUUGAGUUCAAGGCUGAUUUAACAAUAAAGCAGUAAAUGAAAUUAUUGCUUUUAUCUGUUUUUCUAUAUUUUGGCCUCACUCAGAGGCCUUGCAGCUCGUCCAAAUGUGCUCUACAAGUUCAUGUACAGUCCUAUUGAAAAACCCUUUCUGUUUUGCGGCUCUUGUUUUUUAAGCUGUAGGUUUGGAAAUAUUAUGAUUUUUAAGCGCACACCUUUUGCUUCUGCCUUUUUUCGUGUGAUUUUCGUUGCUACUCUCGGCUAUUGAUUUUUAUCUUUUUUUGAGAUGAAAUUUUCUUUUUUAACUUUUUGUUAUUACUUUUGCUGUUAUUUAUAAUUAUUAAGAAACUACUUAUUCAGCAACUUUUGCCUUUUGAAGGUAUUCCACGUAGUUAAUGUAGCUUUUUGUAGAAUUUCAAAGUGCUGGCUUGUUUUUUAUGCUUUUCUCGCUACGUUAGGCCUAUUUUUAAAAGCCUUAGCGGAGUAUGAGUAAUUCAAAUAUUCUGCAGAUACUUAAUAUAUUUUUAAACGCCCAUUGGGUGCGGCCACAGGCUUGAGUAGUUUUUUUUCAGACAAUCUGUGUAUAGAGAGGAAAGGUAUUAAAUUGUAUUUGUUCCGAAAUUAUCUCAAUAGAGUACUCCUAUUACGAAAAAAAGCUAUCCAGACACAGGCCUGUGAGUGAAAGUUGGCGCAUUCGCAUUUGCGCUUCAACAUUUUUUUCUUUUUUAAAGACUCGGCAGUACGCAAAACUUAAAACUCAACUCAGAUUGACUAAUGUUGAUCGAAUUAGUAGAAAUUCUUUCAGGUUCGCUGACCAGGCAUGGUGCGUUUGGUUUGUUCGAAGUAUAUGUUUGCCCUUAAGUCAUUACAAAAUGCUUUUUCUGAAAAUGCGAGUAAUUUCAGCAAAUGCCAAUAAUUUCAUGAAAUCUCAUGUUCUUUAGUAGAACAGCAUUCAGUUAGCCAUAAAAAAUAUUGAAUUUUUGUUUACUAAAUUUUCCUCUAAGAAACUGCGUGCCACAAAUCCUUAAGCGGUCAUUUCAGAUUGGAAUAAGUUAGAAAAGUUCAGUUGGAAUUAUUGAAAACUUCCUUUAGCAUAGUUUCAGAACACCUUUGGUCACUAUAGACUUAAAAAACCAGAAUAUAACCCGCACUCCAUACUCAUUGCCCGCACCAUCUGUUGCACAUCAGCAAGGGAAUGUGAACCGCAUACGGCAAAUUCCGUUCUUUCUCACUUCUCACAUGACGCUCGGCGCUUUUUUGUAAGACAUUCAAAUUAUGCGUUUCAAAAUGCACAGACACACACACAUAUAUAUACCUACAUAUGAACAUUCGUUCAUAUUGCCAUAUUGUAUUUACAUUCAAUUGCCUCUGCUCUGUGCCUGCUCCAUUCCCAUCCGUUUGCGCAGCUAAACAAACUGGUUUAGACAAUGAUUCAUCAAACAUCCGUCACAGCACAACAGGCAACAAACAGGCUAACAACAGGUAGCUGACAGCAUAAAAACAAUAACAACAACAAAAAAGUAACAAAUAAAGAAUAAUAAAAACACAAAAUAACACUCGAGUUUCGCUGUUAUUGGCCAGAGCUUGGUUUGCUUGGCUCACAUUCGACUGACACGACCACCACAAUUACAUCCGGUAAUUUAAUGUAAUUUUAGAUUUUUCUCAUUUAAAUCGCAUGCAAUGGAAAAAUAAAUGGGAGGAAAAGUUGAAAAAAUAUAUCUACGCAUAUAUCUGUAUAUAUAAUAUAUAUGUACGUGUAUAUGUAUAUACAAUAUAAUUUAUAUAUGGUUGUGUAUGUAAAAAGGAAUGUACUGGGGCAGAGCGAAAUGCACACAUACGCUGCUAAUAUCAUAUAUGGGUGUAUGUAUGCACACUUGUACUACUCGUACUUAUCUAUGUUUGCGUGUAUCUGAAUAUAUUGAGCGGUGACCGAUAGUCAGUUAGAAAUAAAAAACAACAUACUAACGGCAAAAGUAAUAGGCGAGCGGUCAAAUUUGUUUAGAAAUUAAUUUGAAUAUGGUAAAAGUGAGGCUAGGUUUUGCUGUGAUUCCACCGUAAAUUUCUUUAGCUAGUGCCGUGAUUUAAAUAUCAGUCACUUUACGUUUCAACUGAGUGAUAGAAAAUACCGGUGCUAGUAAAUCUUAGCUGGACCUUAGCGUCCAGAUCGUUAAACUAUUUGUGGAAAAGGUUGAAAGGGCAUUAAAUAAUAGAAAUUAAAUAAAACAAAAAAUAAAAUAAUGAAAUUAAAUAAAAAAUAAUAAUGAAAUAAAAAAAAUAAUAAUAAUGAAAUAAAUCAAAAAAUAAUAAUGAUAAUAAAUAUUGCUGGUAAAAGAUUAAUUUUAAGAGUUGCUGACUAAUAAUUUGCAAUUAGCACCUUUUUCGCAUUUUGCAACCCAGUGAGCUCUACUAAUCAAGCCGAUAAUUUAUUCCUAACUUUUGCACUUUAACUUUCUUCGUUUACUUAAUUGUAAAGGUAAGAAGAAAUGUUUAGUUUUUGACUUUAAAGUACAUUUUGACUCUUUUCGUUCAUUUCAUACAAUGAUAAGAAAAAAAUUCCAGUUCUUAAACUUAAGCAAGACUUGCGUAAAAAUCUAUUAAUUUUCAGCUAAUCUGAUCAUUGUUCAUUUAACCUUAGUUAAAUUCGCUGCACUUCAGUUCAUUUUAAGCUUAACCACAAAAUUUAAAGAGCACUAAAACUAAAUUAGUAUUCUUCUACUUGCCUGGCGCGAUAACCUCUUAUGCUAUAUUGGCUGAGUUUAACAAAGUGCACCAGUCGUUUCUUUCUCGUCCUAACCGGCGCCAGUUGGACACAACAAAUGAAACCCAGUCCUUCUCCACCGGAGCUUUCCCACGCAGGGGAGGGACUCCUUUUUUUGUUAGCACCAGGUGGUACCGCAUCGAAUACUUUCAGAGUCGGAGCGUUUUUAUCCAUUCGGACGACAUGCCUACUUAGUCCAAAGUAGCACUUGUUGGCAAGAGAGAAUCUACGUUGGAUUUCAAGGCUGGCAUUGUUAUCCGUGUUAAUGCUGGUUUCUAAAUAAACGAAGUCUUUUACAACCUCGAAAUUAUAACUGCCAACAGUGACGUGGGUGCCGAUACGCGAGAGCGCAGACUGUUUGUUUGAUGACAGGAGGUACUUCGUUUUGUUCUCGUUGACCACCAGACCCAUUCGCUUUGCCUCUUUAUCCAGUUUGGAGAAGGCAGAACUAACAACUUGGUUGCUAAGGCUGAUGACGUCAAUAUCAUCGGCAUACACCAAAAAUUGUAUGCUUUUAUAAAAAACUGUGCCGGAGGCUUUAAUUUUGCCGCACGCACGAUCUUUCCCAGCAUCAGGUUAAAGAAGUCACAUGGCAGCGAGACUGGUUGACAGUCUGAAAUUCGUUUGAUAUCAAACGGCUCGAAAGGUACCCACCAAUUCUGAUGAUUCUGAUAGCACUGCUGGUAUUGAGCAUCGUCAUUUUGUAUUAGCCGUAUUAGUUUUACGGGGAUCCAAAUCCAGACAUCAAGGCAUCGAUAAAAGAAUUUUUUCUAAGUUUUUUCUAAGACUUGGCGUUUUCUGAAUAUUUGGUGGAUUGUGCACUGGAUAUCAGUCGCCAGAUCGCUGUCUUUGUU
This is an RNA transcript of Anastrepha ludens (Mexican fruit fly), 8215 nucleotides long. RefSeq lists it as uncharacterized. Lineage: Eukaryota; Metazoa; Arthropoda; Insecta; Diptera; Tephritidae. The transcript is spliced from 4 exons. The record is from RefSeq and is a predicted model, not a curated record.